RNAcentral lists this long non-coding RNA (459 nucleotides) under Mytilus galloprovincialis (Mediterranean mussel). The record is from RNAcentral. Lineage: Eukaryota; Metazoa; Mollusca; Bivalvia; Mytilida; Mytilidae.
CUGCUCCUCAUUUUUUGGCUCCUUUUUGUUGUCUAUUAAUUUCAAUAAUGUUAGCGUUUAUCUGUAUAUUAUGAACAUUCAUUAUAAAUAGAGUGUCCCAGGUUAAGGGGAGGGUUGGGAUCCCGCUAACAUGUUUAACCCCGCCACAUUAUUUAUGUAUGUGCCUGUCCCAAGUCAGGAGCCUGUAAUUCAGUGGUUGUCGUUUGUUUAUGUGUUGCAUAUUUGUUUUUCAUUUUUUUUUUUAUAUAUAAAUAAGGCCGUUAUUUUUCUCAUUUGAAUUGUUUUACAUUGUCAUCUCGGGGCCUGUUAUAGCUGAUUAUGCGGUAUGAUCUUUGCUCAUUGUUGAAGGCCGUACGGUGACCUAUAGUUGUUAAUGUCUGUGUCAUUUUGGUCUCUUGUGGACAGUUGUCUCAUUGGAAAUCAUACCCGUACCGUCCACAUCUUCUUUUUUAUAUGUAU